UAGGGAAUCUUCGGCAAUGGACGGAAGUCUGACCGAGCAACGCCGCGUGAGUGAAGAGGGUUUUCGGAUCGUAAAGCUCUGUUGUAAGAGAAGAACGAGUGUGAGAGUGGAAAGUUCACACUGUGACGGUAUCUUACCAGAAAGGGACGGCUAACUACGUGCCAGCAGCCGCGGUAAUACGUAGGUCCCGAGCGUUGUCCGGAUUUAUUGGGCGUAAAGCGAGCGCAGGCGGUUAGAUAAGUCUGAAGUUAAAGGCUGUGGCUUAACCAUAGUACGCUUUGGAAACUGUUUAACUUGAGUGCAAGAGGGGAGAGUGGAAUUCCAUGUGUAGCGGUGAAAUGCGUAGAUAUAUGGAGGAACACCGGUGGCGAAAGCGGCUCUCUGGCUUGUAACUGACGCUGAGGCUCGAAAGCGUGGGGAGCAAACAGGAUUAGAUACCCUGGUAGUCCACGCCGUAAACGAUGAGUGCUAGGUGUUAGACCCUUUCCGGGGGUUUAUGGCNNANCUUAAGCNUUAACACUCCCCCCCGGGGGGAANAACCCCCNGGUG
This 549-nucleotide ribosomal RNA is filed under the name uncultured bacterium. RNAcentral's name for it is "bacterial SSU rRNA". It matches the Rfam family "Bacterial small subunit ribosomal RNA", at positions 355 to 873 of the family's 1533-position model. The record is from RNAcentral.